GAAUGUGAGGUCAUCCACUGUAAUAGUGGCUGUCUCCACUCUCUCCCAUAUCUACAGUUACUACCACUUUCUCUCUUUUCAACCUUGAAAAGUUGCCAACUGGCUCGUAAAUCCGCCACGUUUCUCUUCUUCUUUAGGCGUUUUCCUUUGACGUGGCAACCAUUGGCCACCUCUUCUCCUAAAUAAGUACCCCCUUGUGUCUACUCUCUCUGCUCUCUAUCUUCAUUCGCAUGUUCGCUCUUCUAAUUCCCUCUUCUUUCAGACAUAAAAUCAAACACUUACAGCACCUCAUUUCCCAUCGCCCCCUUUUUGUCUCCGACCACAGGAAGCAAGUGAAAUAAUGCCAAUGCUUGAUGCUGUAGAAUCCUCCACCAAUGGAGACUCAUUGGACGGCCCAGAUCAAUCCACUGAUUCUCCUCCAGAUGCGCGUGAUCUCCCAUCUUUAAUGUUGUCUUCUUGUUAUCCCAUUACUCUGAGGUUCUUCGACGUGUGUUAUAGGAUGAAAAUUGAGAAGAGGCACAAAGGAGGAGGCAGUAGCAAUAUCAGACGGAUUUUAGGUCAUGGACCCACUCAAUCGAAUCAAACACCAACGGCUAUGGUUCAAGAACGUAUGAUUUUGAAUGGGAUCACUGGCAUGGUUUCACCUGGAGAAAUCCUGGCCAUUCUUGGUCCUUCUGGGAGCGGCAAGUCAACGCUCCUCAAUGCGCUUGCAGGUAGACUCCAAGGACCUGGCUUCACUGGAACUAUACUCGCCAACAACAAAAAGCCGUGCAAACAAACAUUGAAACGCACCGGUUUUGUUACUCAGGACGAUGUCCUCUACCCUCACCUCAGCGUCCGCGAAACCCUAAUUUUCUGCUCUUUACUUCGCUUGCCAAAAUCUCUGUCCAAGAAAGAGAAGACUUCUGUGGUUGAGUCGGUGAUAUCCGAGCUGGGUUUAAAGAAAUGCGAGAACACAAUCAUUGGCAACAGUUUUAUACGUGGGGUCUCCGGUGGGGAAAGAAAGAGAGUGAAUAUAGCUCAUGAGAUGCUCAUAAACCCUAGUUUGCUCAUUCUUGAUGAACCCACGUCCGGUUUGGACUCCACUGCAGCGCACAGGCUGGUCUUGACGUUGGGUUCGCUGGCGCAGAAGGGAAAGACCAUUGUUACUUCCAUGCAUCAACCUUCUAGCCGAGUUUACCAGAUGUUUAACUCAGUGUUGGUGUUGAGCGAGGGAAGGUGUUUGUAUUUUGGCAAAGGAAGUGAGGCCAUGGCUUAUUUUGAGUCGGUUGGGUUCUCGCUGUCUUUCCCCAUGAAUCCCGCUGAUUUUCUCCUUGAUCUCGCUAAUGGUGUUUGCCAAAUUGAUGGUGUAAGCGAAAGAGAUAAGCUGAACAUAAAGCAAUCUCUAAUUGCCUCUUACAACAGUGUGUUAGCCCCAAAGGUAAAAGCUGCCUGCAUGGAGACCACCAUUACUUCAACAAAAGGGACAAGCUUAUUUGGAAGCCAUUCUUCCAAAGGAAGUAGAUGCUGCAACAGAAUUGGCUUUGCCACAUGGUUCAACCAAUUCACCAUUCUUCUUCAAAGAAGCCUCAAAGAAAGAAAGCAUGAAUCAUUCAAUACUCUUAGAGUCUUCCAAGUAAUCACAGCUGCAUUAUUAGCUGGUCUAAUGUGGUGGCACUCAGAUUUUCGUGACAUUCAGGAUCGAUUAGGUCUCCUCUUUUUCAUGUCAAUCUUCUGGGGAGUCUUCCCUUCUUUUAACUCUGUGUUCGCCUUCCCACAAGAUAGAGCUAUCUUCAUGAAGGAAAGAGCCUCGGGUAUGUACACUCUUUCUUCUUAUUUCAUGUCACGAAUAGUCGGAGACUUGCCAAUGGAGCUCAUUCUCCCCACGAUUUUUCUUGCCAUGGCUUAUUGGAUGGCUGGAUUAAAACCUGAAUUGGUUGCUUUUCUCUUGACUCUACUGGUUCUGCUCGGCUACGUGCUCGUCUCUCAGGGGCUUGGCCUUGCCUUAGGAGCCGCUAUAAUGGAUGCUAAGCAAGCUUCUACUAUAGUAACAGUAACAAUGCUAGCAUUUGUUUUAACAGGAGGAUUUUAUGUGCAUAAGGUACCAUCUUGUAUGGCUUGGAUCAAGUACAUUUCAACUACAUAUUACAGCUAUAGGCUACUUAUUAGUGUCCAGUAUGGUGAAGGGAAGCAAAUUUCAUCAAUUUUGGGUUGCUCCUACCAUGGAAUUAGUGACAAAGCAAGCUGCAAAUUCCUGGAAGAAGAUGUUAGAGGACAGAUUAGUCCUGGAAUUUCUGUUAGUGUCCUAAUAUUGAUGUUUGUGGGGUAUAGAUUAUUGGCUUACCUCGCAUUGAGGAGGAUCAAAGCUUGAUCAUUUGUGUUAUUUAACCAAAAGGGGUUCUUGUUCUUCUGCAGAUAUAUUAUCACAGGACCUCUUCUAACUGUAAUUCUUGAAAGGAAGAAACAAAUGUAAGAAAGAUGGAGCUUCUUCAUGCUUGGUGUAGAAGCUAAUGGUUCGAGUCUAGGAGCCGCUUUGUUUUUAGUUGGAGAAAUGGAUUCACACUAAAUGUAAA
This 2552-nucleotide unclassified non-coding RNA is filed under the name Hevea brasiliensis (rubber tree). Lineage: Eukaryota; Viridiplantae; Streptophyta; Magnoliopsida; Malpighiales; Euphorbiaceae. The record is from RNAcentral.